RNAcentral lists this ribosomal RNA (904 nucleotides) under Epichloe typhina. Its description in RNAcentral is "LSU rRNA". It matches the Rfam family "Eukaryotic large subunit ribosomal RNA", at positions 38 to 968 of the family's 3401-position model. The record is from RNAcentral. Lineage: Eukaryota; Fungi; Ascomycota; Sordariomycetes; Hypocreales; Clavicipitaceae.
GCAUAUCAAUAAGCGGAGGAAAAAGAAACCAACAGGGAUUGCCCCAGUAACGGCGAGUGAAGCGGCAACAGCUCAAAUUUGAAAUCUGGCCCCCCCGGGGCCCGAGUUGUAAUUUGCAGAGGAUGCUUUUGGCGAGGCGCCUUCCGAGUUCCCUGGAACGGGACGCCACAGAGGGUGAGAGCCCCGUCUGGUUGGAUGCCGAGCCUCUGUAAAGCUCCUUCGACGAGUCGAGUAGUUUGGGAAUGCUGCUCUAAAUGGGAGGUAUAUGUCUUCUAAAGCUAAAUAUUGGCCAGAGACCGAUAGCGCACAAGUAGAGUGAUCGAAAGAUGAAAAGCACUUUGAAAAGAGGGUUAAAUAGUACGUGAAAUUGUUGAAAGGGAAGCGCUCAUGACCAGACUUGGGCCCGGUGAAUCAUCCAGCGUUCUCGCUGGUGCACUUUGCCGGGCUCAGGCCAGCAUCAGUUCGCCCCGGGGGAGAAAGGCUCUGGGAAUGUGGCUCCUCCGGGAGUGUUAUAGCCCUCUGCGCAAUGCCCUGGGGCGGACUGAGGUCCGCGCAUCUGCAAGGAUGCUGGCGUAAUGGUCAUCAGCGACCCGUCUUGAAACACGGACCAAGGAGUCGUCCUCGUAUGCGAGUGUUCGGGUGUGAAACCCCUACGCGUAAUGAAAGUGAACGCAGGUGAGAGCUUCGGCGCAUCAUCGACCGAUCCUGAUGUUCUCGGAUGGAUUUGAGUAGGAGCAUACGGGGCCGGACCCGAAAGAAGGUGAACUAUGCCUGUAUAGGGUGAAGCCAGAGGAAACUCUGGUGGAGGCUCGCAGCGGUUCUGACGUGCAAAUCGAUCGUCAAAUAUGGGCAUGGGGGCGAAAGACUAAUCGGAACCUUCUAGUAGCUGGUUUCCGCCGAAAGA